RNAcentral lists this ribosomal RNA (253 nucleotides) under uncultured bacterium. Its description in RNAcentral is "partial 16S ribosomal RNA". It matches the Rfam family "Bacterial small subunit ribosomal RNA", at positions 524 to 776 of the family's 1533-position model. The record is from RNAcentral.
UACGUAGGGUGCGAGCGUUAAUCGGAAUUACUGGGCGUAAAGUGUGCGCAGGUGGCCGCGCAAGUCGAGUGUGAAAUCCCCGAGCUUAACUUGGGAAUUGCGCUCGAAACUACGUGGCUCGAGUGUGGCAGAGGAAGGUGGAAUUCCACGUGUAGCGGUGAAAUGCGUAGAGAUGUGGAGGAACACCAAUGGCGGAGGCAGCCUUCUGGGCCAACACUGACGCUCAUGCACGAAAGCGUGGGGAGCAAACAGG